CCCUUAGAUGUUCUGGGCCGCACGCGCGCUACACUGACGAUGGCAACGAGUUUUUCCUUCGCCGAAAGGUGUGGGUAAUCUUUUGAAACAUCGUCGUGCUGGGGAUAGAUCAUUGCAAUUUUUGAUCUUGAACGAGGAAUUCCUAGUAAGCGCGAGUCAUCAGCUCGCGUUGAUUACGUCCCUGCCCUUUGUACACACCGCCCGUCGCUACUACCGAUUGAAUGGUUUAGUGAGGACUCCUGAUUGGCGCCGCCGCCCCGGCAACGGAGCAGCGGACUGCCGAAAAGUUGUCAAACUUGAUCAUUUAGAGGAAGUAAAAGUCGUAACA
This 328-nucleotide ribosomal RNA is filed under the name uncultured eukaryote. RNAcentral's name for it is "partial 18S ribosomal RNA". It matches the Rfam family "Eukaryotic small subunit ribosomal RNA", at positions 1470 to 1796 of the family's 1831-position model. The record is from RNAcentral.